GAUGAACGCUGGCGGCGUGCCUAAUACAUGCAAGUCGAGCGAACGGACGAGAAGCUUGCUUCUCUGAUGUUAGCGGCGGACGGGUGAGUAACACGUGGAUAACCUACCUAUAAGACUGGGAUAACUUCGGGAAACCGGAGCUAAUACCGGAUAAUAUUUUGAACCGCAUGGUUCAAAAGUGAAAGACGGUCUUGCUGUCACUUAUAGAUGGAUCCGCGCUGCAUUAGCUAGUUGGUAAGGUAACGGCUUACCAAGGCAACGAUGCAUAGCCGACCUGAGAGGGUGAUCGGCCACACUGGAACUGAGACACGGUCCAGACUCCUACGGGAGGCAGCAGUAGGGAAUCUUCCGCAAUGGGCGAAAGCCUGACGGAGCAACGCCGCGUGAGUGAUGAAGGUCUUCGGAUCGUAAAACUCUGUUAUUAGGGAAGAACAUAUGUGUAAGUAACUGUGCACAUCUUGACGGUACCUAAUCAGAAAGCCACGGCUAACUACGUGCCAGCAGCCGCGGUAAUACGUAGGCGGCAAGCGUUAUCCGGAAUUAUUGGGCGUAAAGCGCGCGUAGGCGGUUUUUUAAGUCUGAUGUGAAAGCCCACGGCUCAACCGUGGAGGGUCAUUGGAAACUGGAAAACUUGAGUGCAGAAGAGGAAAGUGGAAUUCCAUGUGUAGCGGUGAAAUGCGCAGAGAUAUGGAGGAACACCAGUGGCGAAGGCGACUUUCUGGUCUGUAACUGACGCUGAUGUGCGAAAGCGUGGGGAUCAAACAGGAUUAGAUACCCUGGUAGUCCACGCCGUAAACGAUGAGUGCUAAGUGUUAGGGGGUUUCCGCCCCUUAGUGCUGCAGCUAGCGCAUUAAGCACUCCGCCUGGGGAGUACGACCGCAAGGUUGAAACUCAAAGGAAUUGACGGGGACCCGCACAAGCGGUGGAGCAUGUGGUUUAAUUCGAAGCAACGCGAAGAACCUUACCAAAUCUUGACAUCCUUUGACAACUCUAGAGAUAGAGCCUUCCCCUUCGGGGGACAAAGUGACAGGUGGUGCAUGGUUGUCGUCAGCUCGUGUCGUGAGAUGUUGGGUUAAGUCCCGCAACGAGCGCAACCCUUAAGCUUAGUUGCCAUCAUUAAGUUGGGCACUCUAAGUUGACUGCCGGUGACAAACCGGAGGAAGGUGGGGAUGACGUCAAAUCAUCAUGCCCCUUAUGAUUUGGGCUACACACGUGCUACAAUGGACAAUACAAAGGGCAGCGAAACCGCGAGGUCAAGCAAAUCCCAUAAAGUUGUUCUCAGUUCGGAUUGUAGUCUGCAACUCGACUACAUGAAGCUGGAAUCGCUAGUAAUCGUAGAUCAGCAUGCUACGGUGAAUACGUUCCCGGGUCU
RNAcentral lists this ribosomal RNA (1372 nucleotides) under uncultured bacterium. RNAcentral's name for it is "bacterial SSU rRNA". It matches the Rfam family "Bacterial small subunit ribosomal RNA", at positions 28 to 1381 of the family's 1533-position model. The record is from RNAcentral.